UACGUAGGGUGCAAGCGUUAUCCGGAAUUAUUGGGCGUAAAGAGCUCGUAGGCGGUUUGUCGCGUCUGCUGUGAAAACUGGGGGCUCAACCCCCAGCCUGCAGUGGGUACGGGCAGACUAGAGUGCGGUAGGGGAGAUUGGAAUUCCUGGUGUAGCGGUGGAAUGCGCAGAUAUCAGGAGGAACACCGGUGGCGAAGGCGGGUCUCUGGGCCGAUACUGACACUGAGGAGCGAAAGCGUGGGGAGCGAACAGG
RNAcentral lists this ribosomal RNA (253 nucleotides) under uncultured bacterium. Its description in RNAcentral is "partial 16S ribosomal RNA". It matches the Rfam family "Bacterial small subunit ribosomal RNA", at positions 524 to 776 of the family's 1533-position model. The record is from RNAcentral.